This 437-nucleotide ribosomal RNA is filed under the name uncultured bacterium. RNAcentral's name for it is "partial 16S ribosomal RNA". It matches the Rfam family "Bacterial small subunit ribosomal RNA", at positions 29 to 507 of the family's 1533-position model. The record is from RNAcentral.
AGCGAACGCUGGCGGCAGGCUUAACACAUGCAAGUCGAGCGGGCAUCCUUGUGGUGUCAGCGGCUGACGGGUGAGUAACGCGUGGGAACGUGCCCUUCGGUUCGGAAUAACUCAGGGAAACUUGAGCUAAUACCGGAUACGUGCGAGAGCAGAAAGGUUUAUCUGCCGAAGGAUCGGCGCGCGUCUGAUUAGCUAGUUGGUGAGGUUAUGGCUCACCAAGGCGACGAUCAGUAGCUGGGGUGAGAGAAUGAUCAGCCACACUGGGACUGGGAAACGGCCCAGACUCUUACGGGAGGCAGCAGUGGGGGAUAUUGGACAAUGGGGGCAACCAUGAUGCAGCCAGGCCGCGUGAGUGAUGACGGCCUUAGGGUUGUAAAGCGCUUUUCUCCGGGACGAUAAUGACGGUACCGGAGGAAUAAGCCCCGGCUAACUUCGUG